RNAcentral lists this long non-coding RNA (3827 nucleotides) under Homo sapiens (human). RNAcentral describes it as "non-protein coding lnc-LRRC75A-2:1". Lineage: Eukaryota; Metazoa; Chordata; Mammalia; Primates; Hominidae. The record is from RNAcentral.
GGCCAGGAAACACAGCACCUGGGACACCACUGUGAGCAGGGCCUGGAACAGGCUGUGUGGGAGCAGAAUCCAGGUGGGCUUGCGGGCCACUUGGCUCCCUGAGCCCCCACUGGCCUAUGCUGACCAAGGUCCUGACCUCCAUCUUAGGCAAGACAUUUAACCUCUGUGGGCCUCAGUUCCCUCCCACUGUAAAAUGGGCAUAAUAAUAAUGAUGCCUGACUCAUAGAGUGUUUUCAAGGACUAAGUGAAACAGGUAUGUGCCGAGGCCUAGUAAAUGUCACUAUCACCAUCUACAGUGAUGGGAGCACAAGGGGCCCCAGGCUGGACGGCAGCCCAGACUCCUGGGACUGGCCUGUACACAGAUCCCGACUUCCUGGGCCCCGUGUCCUCGCCUCUAAAGCCAACCUGGUGCCUUCUGCCACAACUGCCCCUUCCAGACCUCAGAGACAGUUGAGAGAAGGAGGAGUGAGAACCCACGUACAAGAGGAUUUCAAAGUAGCUGUCUAUGAACGAGAUCCAGAUGAACACGUGGCGCCGCCAGAAGUACCACAGCUGCGGAGGAAGGGAGGACAGAGGGCUGUGAAACCUGCUCUCCCGCAUGCCCCCUGCUGGCCUGGCUGAGUGGGAGCCUGCCACCCAGGCUAGAGCUAAGUCAGCAGCUUUGGUUUUGGGGGACUCAUGAAUACUUCUGAUAGCUGAGAUAGCUUGGGACUUUCUUUCCAGAAAGAGCAGCCACCUAGGCAAGGCCGGGGGGUGCAGGUGAAGAGCCUGUGCACUGCAUGCAGGAAGGGGAAGAGCACCUUUCCCUUCCCUUCUCCCUGGCCUCACAGGGAGCACCCAUACCCCAGCCAACCUGCGUUUGGUGCCCAAGUUCUGCCCACUCUGCGGAGGUCCCAAUGUCUUGGUGUCCAGCCUGUGUCCUGCAGGCUUACAGCAUUUCCCACUGAAGAGGCCCUACUGGGGGAAAUAGCCUGAACCCCACCUACCUCUGGUCUCUGUGCUCCCCAAGAGGGGAGCUUCCCAGCCGAGGGGCCUGGCUAGGGGCAGGCGCUUCCAGCUCCAUUCCUGGGGGAGCAGAGUCUGUACUGCCAAGGAAUCAGAGAAGCUAUCUGCUACCCCAAGGAACCCCAAAAGCACAGCAGAGGGGUUCCUGGGGACUCAGAAGGCAAGGCCAGAACCUCUGGCCCUCAGCUUCAGUGAGGCUGGUUGCUCUGGGUGGGACUGGGUAUUGUCAGUGAGGGGAUGCAGCUAACUUUCUCUAAGCCCCCUGAAGCAGAAUUCUAGGUUUGCUUCUUGGUAGGAGAAGGGGAGGGGCACUCACCUGGCCCACGAGGAGGUAGAUCCCCCCUAGCAGGAUAAGGAUGUGGCCCGUCAGCAGCAUGGAGUUUCCAACCUCCGCUUUCAGGUGAGGGGCGGCCUGCUGAAGACACACUCAGAUGAGACCUAGGGCCUUGGGUCCUCUCUCGAACAGCUCACCCUUCAGAGCUGAAGCUGAGGGCCUACUCUGAGCCUGAGCUGUGGAGAGGCUCCUCAGAACGGCAUGGGAACAUGGGCUCCAGGGAAGGACCCCUGGAUCCUGAGAGGCACAUUGUGUAGCAUUUCAGUGUAGGGUCUGAAGCCAGACUCCCUGGAUUCAGAUUCCCUCUCCACACCACUUCCAUUCUGUGUGACCCUGGGCAAGUUACUUAACCUCUCUGUGCCUCCCUUCCCUCUACUAUAAACUGGGGGUGAUUAUAAUUCACCAUCUCAAGGGUUUUGGGGCACAUUAAUUAGUCAACACAUGUCCAUCACCUAGAAUCCUUUUUCACAUACAGUGAGCACUCAGCAAAUCUUCACUGUAUCACCGUUAGUACUGCAGUGCUGGCUCCCAUAAGCUUGGGAAUGUCACUCCAGCAGCCCAUGCCUCAGCACUAUUACUGCCCCAUCUUCCCCCAGGGUUGUUUCAAGCAGGCCUCCCCCAAGAUGUGCCCCCCCAAACCUCACGCCCUUGCCUUCUUCAGGGUAGGCUGAUGGUAGGCAACAGCGGUGAAGAUGAACAUGUAGAUCAGAUUACACAGGAAGUUUAAGAAGAACUUGGGGAUGAGCAGAUCCCAUUUCGCCUGCAGCAGUUUGUUCAGGGGCUCCAAAACGACCAUUCGGUGUCGGUGCUGGGGUGGGGAGGGGAGAGCCAUGGGUACACUCAACAAGUGCAAAUAGGCUGCCCACUCCAUGUCAAGAUCAAAGCAAGGGCCCAGGAAAUGAGGAGAGAGGACAGGGAGCAGGCUUCCACACCCCAGGAGCCCCAAAGGACCUCACGCCAACCCUCCCAGCUACAGUGUGACUAAGGGGCUUGCCCUCCAAAUGAGAUGCUGGUUAACAGAGAGGACCCGGAUGGUUGCCACGAGGCCCUUGGCAUGAUCCCCGUCUUGGAUGGGACUAGAGUAUGGAUUGAGUAUGGGCCCGGUGGCCAUGGUCAGGGUCGUGCCUGCUGGGACAUGCAGCCACACCCCCACUGGCACAGGAAUGGGGCAGAUAUGGUCCAGCAGGCAGCCCCAAUUUGUGGACCUUGCUGGAAACUCUGCUGGGUCCUCUGCGUGCACCCAUGCUCCUGUGGGCUCACCGGGCUCUUGCAAUGAAAGGCAAUGAUCUCCAGCACUGAGUUCUCCUCACAGCUGUCCACAGAAGCCAGGUCAUACAGCGACACCCGGACAGGCCCAUAGCACCACUCGGUGAACUUUCGGGAAAGGUGGCUCAGUCCUGAAAACUCCCGCUGCAGGAUGUGCCUGAAAAUCUGCAGGGUGGCCAUAUGAGCUUGCAUUCAUGGUCCCUUCCUGGCACUGAUCCUGGGCCAAGGCUGGGAAACACCCAGGACUCAGCAGCUGCCCACGGUCUGCAGAGCUGCAGCUGACACGUGCACGUACCCCCAUACACGCAGGUCCUUGUUUGUCUAAACUCUUAAACACACACACGCACCCAGCCACAUCUGCCCCAGCCUGCCAGCCAGCCUGGCUCUUCCUUCCCCUCCCCUGCCCUGUGGCCUUCCUUGAACUCCUCAAAUGGCAGAUUGAUCCCUAGCCCUGGGGUCCUUGAGGCCCCUGAGAUCAGAGUCUACUAGCUGUAUCUGUGUGUGCACUUUCGCGGUCAGAAUCUAGAAUUUUCAACAGACUAGAAAGUGGUCCCUAAUCCAAACAGGUUAGGAAGCAGUCUGGUUUCACGCGUGAGGAAUGGGAAAGGAGGAACAGAUCAGGACACUGCUUUCAUAGGCCACACAGCAGUGCCUCUAGACAAGAAAGUGAGGUUCACACACCCCAGGGAGCACUCCAAAAAACUUGGGAGGGCAGCGAAAAAGGGUUAAAACUUCUAUUUAUGUUUAUCGUUUCCUUAAUCUUUCAAAAAUCUCCACUGUAAGCCCAUGAGGCCAGCCCUGGUGAGCUAUUGGCAAAAGCUAUUUGGAACAGGCCAUUGGUAAGCUAUCUGGAACAAAGUGGGGGCUGCCUCAUGUUUACUCUUCCUACCAGAAUAACUUCCAGCUAGUCAAAGCUCUAGGCAUUAAAAAUGCAGCUGCAGGCUGGGCGUUUCGGCUCAUGCCUGUAAUCUCAGCACUUUGGGAGGCUGAGGCAGGUGGAUCACCAGAGGUCGGGAGUUUGAGACCAGCCUGACCAACAUGGAGAAACCCCGUCUCUACUAAAAAUACAAAAUUAGCCGGGCGUGGUGGCACAUGCCUGUAAUCCCAGCUACUCGGGAGGCUGAGGCAAGAGAAUCGCUUGAACUCCGGAGGCGGAGGUUGCAGUUAGCCGAGAUCGCGCCAUUGUACUCCAGCCUGGGCAACAAGAGCGAAACUCCAUCUC